This 377-nucleotide ribosomal RNA is filed under the name Foraminifera environmental sample. RNAcentral describes it as "partial Bacterial small subunit ribosomal RNA". It matches the Rfam family "Bacterial small subunit ribosomal RNA", at positions 505 to 880 of the family's 1533-position model. Lineage: Eukaryota; Foraminifera. The record is from RNAcentral.
GUGCCAGCAGCCGCGGUAAUACGUGGGGACCGAGCGUUGUCCGGAAUUACUGGGCGUAAAGGGCGUGCAGGUGGUUCGGUAAGCUUGGCGUGAAAGCCCCCGGCCCAACCGGGGAGGGUCGUCGAGGACUGUCGGACUUGAGGGGCGCAGGGGUCGGUGGAAUUCCGGGUGUAGUGGUGAAAUGCGUAGAGAUCCGGAGGAACACCAGUGGCGAAGGCGGCCGACUGGGCGCACCCUGACACUGAGACGCGAAGGCGUGGGGAGCGAACGGGAUUAGAUACCCCGGUAGUCCACGCAGUAAACGAUGUCGACUAGGCGUGGGGGGACUUGACCCCCUCCGUGCCGGAGCCAACGCGGGAAGUCGACCGCCUGGGGAG